Molecule: small nucleolar RNA, 65 nt
Organism: Synchiropus splendidus (mandarinfish)
Lineage: Eukaryota; Metazoa; Chordata; Actinopteri; Syngnathiformes; Callionymidae
Product: small nucleolar RNA SNORD58
Exons: 1
Source: RefSeq, a predicted model, not a curated record
CUGCGCUGAUGACCACUUAGGACACCUUUGGAUGAGCCAUGAAAACACUCUGAAGUCUGAGCAGC